CAUGGAGUUUGAUCCUGGCUCAGAUUGAACGCUGGCGGAAUGCUUUACACAUGCAAGUCGAACGGUAGAGGGGGCAACCCCUUGAGAGUGGCGAACGGGUGAGUAAUAUAUCGGAACGUGCCCAGUCGUGGGGGAUAACGUAGUGAAAAUUACGCUAAUACCGCAUACGAUCUAUGGAUGAAAGCGGGGGAUCGCAAGACCUCGCGCGAUUGGAGCGGCCGAUAUCAGAUUAGGUAGUUGGUGAGGUAAAGGCUCACCAAGCCGACGAUCUGUAGCUGGUCUGAGAGGACGACCAGCCACACUGGGGACUGAGACGCGGCCCAGACUCCUACGGGAGCAGCAGUGGGGAAUUUUGGACAAUGGGCGCAAGCCUGAUCCCAGCAAUGCCGCGUGCAGGAUGAAGG
Molecule: ribosomal RNA, 404 nt
Filed under: uncultured Limnohabitans sp.
Lineage: Bacteria; Pseudomonadati; Pseudomonadota; Betaproteobacteria; Burkholderiales; Comamonadaceae
Description: bacterial SSU rRNA
Rfam family: Bacterial small subunit ribosomal RNA
Source: RNAcentral